UAAUGAUGUCAAACUCCUCACUGGAGGCCUUAUCCUUGCUUAGAGUCCAGUAGGUGCCAACACCUCAGAAUACAAGUCUUCACAUGCCUAACGCCUGAGGGCUUCUGAUCCCAAUUGUUAAGGACAGAAGGAGCCUCCAGAUUUGGGAGAUGGUGAAUGUUCUGGUUAUUGGAGAAGUUCCAGGGCAUUUAUGGGGUUUACCUGGUAAAUGGAGGGCACAAGGAACCCUAUAGCUUAAAUCAUGUAUAACUGAGUGCCUAGAUCUCAACCUGGGUUGUUAGGAGGUAGGGGAGAGGUAGCCUGGGCCACAUCCUGGCUGAAUGCAUGCGAUGUUCCUUUUGGGAAAUAACUGUUAGUUGCAGAGGCAGCUCAGUGUGCUGCCAGGAGAUCAGUCUUUGCUUCUUCACAUAUACCAUCAGACCAUCACCUUGUCCUCAUCUAUAUACUACAUUUUUGUUUUUUAAAGGUUUAAUCAAUUGUAAUUACCCAAGUAAUGAGUGAAUUUUCUUUUUAAGAAAUUAGAUUGUUACAAAUAAUAGUAGUCAUUCAACUACCAUUCUCCCAUCGCAUCUUAAUUGCUGUAAUGUCUGUUGUACAUCCAUCUUAACUUUAAGACUUACAUGUGAAUUCAUUGAAUAUAUUGUGUUUAAUGC
RNAcentral lists this long non-coding RNA (653 nucleotides) under Bos taurus (domestic cattle). RNAcentral describes it as "long non-coding RNA NONBTAT026763". The record is from RNAcentral. Lineage: Eukaryota; Metazoa; Chordata; Mammalia; Artiodactyla; Bovidae.